Molecule: long non-coding RNA, 269 nt
Organism: Larimichthys crocea (large yellow croaker)
Lineage: Eukaryota; Metazoa; Chordata; Actinopteri; Sciaenidae
Exons: 3
Source: RefSeq, a predicted model, not a curated record
GCCUAUGAAGGCCCGGAGACCGAAUGCGGAUGUCUGCGCCACCACCCUGGAGUUCCCGUCUUCCACGAGGGAUAUAAGUACUGGAGCUGCUGCUGCAUAAAGACAUGGACUUCAAUGCUUUCCUCGACCAGAAGGGCUGCACCUCGGGGAAACACUGCUGGAUCCCGAAGAAGGACAAGAAGAAGGUUGCAUGUCGACACGACUGGCACCAGACAGGAAAAAACGUAGUUGUAACAGUUUACGCCAAGAACCCAAACCCGAAACUGUGC